GCCAUCUGGCCUUGCCCUGUCACAGCAGCUAAUCAUCCAGAUGCAGACAAGUUAGAGUCUUAAAUUUCAAAAAGGGCCGGUGACUUUUGAGGACGUGGCUGUGUAUUUCAGGGAGGAAUGGGCUCUGCUGGACCCUCAGAGAGCCGUGUACAGGGAUGUCAUGCAGGAGAUCUGCAAGACGGUGGUCUUGCUGGUAGGGUUUCCAGUUUCCAAACCUGAUGUGAUCUUGCAGCUGGAACGAGAGGAAGAGCCGUGGGUCCAGAGCUCUGAGA
Molecule: non-coding RNA, 272 nt
Organism: Chelonoidis abingdonii (Abingdon island giant tortoise)
Lineage: Eukaryota; Metazoa; Chordata; Testudines; Testudinidae
Source: RefSeq, a predicted model, not a curated record